GAGUUUGAUCAUGGCUCAGGAUGAACGCUGGCGGCGUGCCUAAGACAUGCAAGUCGAGGGGGUUUAGACCCCCGGCGAACGGGUGAGUAACACGUGGGAACUUUCGUUAAGCUCGGGAUAACCUCUAGAAAUGGAGGACAAUACCGGAUGUGGUCGUAAGACUAAAGAUUUAUCGCUUAACGUAAGGCCCGCGGCCCAUCAGCUAGUUGGUAAGGUAAUGGCUUACCAAGGCUAUGACGGGUAGCGGAACCGAGAGGUUGAUCCGCCACACUGGGACUGCGACACGGCCCAGACUCCUACGGGAGGCAGCAGUUUGGAAUUUUGGACAAUGGGCGAAAAGCCUGAUCCAGCGACGCCGCGUGCACGAAGAAGGCCUUGGUUGUAAAGUGCUUUGUGGGAAAAGUUUAGUAUUGUACCCACAGAAUAAGAGGUUGCUAACUCUGUGCCAGCAGCCGC
Molecule: ribosomal RNA, 456 nt
Filed under: uncultured bacterium
Lineage: Bacteria
Description: bacterial SSU rRNA
Rfam family: Bacterial small subunit ribosomal RNA
Source: RNAcentral